GUGCCAGCCGCCGCGGUAAUACAGAGGGUGCAAGCGUUAAUCGGAAUUACUGGGCGUAAAGCGCGCGUAGGUGGUUUGUUAAGUUGGAUGUGAAAGCCCCGGGCUCAACCUGGGAACUGCAUUCAAAACUGACAAGCUAGAGUAUGGUAGAGGGUGGUGGAAUUUCCUGUGUAGCGGUGAAAUGCGUAGAUAUAGGAAGGAACACCAGUGGCGAAGGCGACCACCUGGACUGAUACUGACACUGAGGUGCGAAAGCGUGGGGAGCAAACAGGAUUAGAAACCCCCGUAGUCC
Molecule: ribosomal RNA, 292 nt
Filed under: uncultured bacterium
Lineage: Bacteria
Description: partial 16S ribosomal RNA
Rfam family: Bacterial small subunit ribosomal RNA
Source: RNAcentral